AGAGAGGAAGGCCAUGGGAAGACAGAGCCAGAGAUUGGCAUGACUCAGUCACAAGCCAAAGAAUGUCUGGGAACAGAAACUGGGAGAGGCAGGGAAUGGAUUCUGCCCUCGUCUCUGGAGGGAUCAUGGCCCUGCCAACAGCUUGCCUUUGGACUUCUGGCCUCCAGAAUGGUAAGGGAAUAGAUUUCUGUUUUUCUAGCACCCAGGUUGUGGUACUUUGUUACAGCAGACCUAAGAAACUGUGUCUUAAGAAGGAGCAGGACAGAAGAAAUUCCAGGCUUUGCCAGCAUCUGCCCCUCCCAUUGGUGCUAGUGUGACUGGAGCUAGGAGCAAUCUCGAGGGAAAAAUAAAGAAACCUUAACAACUGCAACCUGCUGUAGACCACAGAUCAAGGGUACCCCAGAUCUCAUCUCCACAGCUAGGCUCAAUCGAGGCUUCCUGUUUGCUAGAGUGUCACUUGGGAGGGGGAUUUGCAAAAAGAAGGUUUAUGUACAUCACUAUGAGAGAAAUUUAUGGUCCUUAUGGGCAAAUGCAAAACAGCUAAAACAUAUUCCAGGCUCCCAGGAGGAAGACAGAACUGCACUGGUCUAUUUCCUUUAGAUCUUUAGCAUUGGCCACAGCUGGUUGCUCAGCAUGGUGGAAAGAAUGAGAUUUUGGGGCUUGGGGUCAGAUAGACUGGGGUUUGUAACCUGGUUCUGCCAUGCAGUAGCUGGGUGACUUUGGACAAGUAACUAAAGUCCUCUGAGUCUCAGUUUUCUUUCUUGUAGACCAUAAUAAUAAAAUCUACCCAUUGGGGUGUUGAUUGAAUGAGAUUUUAUACACACACACACACACACACAUAUACAGAAGGAACACAGUUUGUGCUCAGUCAAGUUUAGCAAUUAUUUCUAUACUGAAUGAAUGGGGUAGUGUGAAAUGAACAUUUCCUAUCUUCUUAUGAACAGUUCAUAGACAUUUGUUAAAUGGCUGCAUCAUAGACCAUCAAGUAGAUGUGGGAGAGAUUAAGCUGACAAACUGAUGCUGGUAGCAGCUGCAUUGCCUCCCCAGGGUCCCUUAAUGAGUUUACUGCUAAUUAUACAGUCCCUCUACCCCCCCACCUCCAAGCAAUUGGUACCCUCCUUUCCUCUGCUACCUUUCCCCCUGCUCACCCCCUGCCAUGAGCUCACAGUUUUGGAAGUCAUAGAAAUCAGCUACCUGUUUAUACACCUCGGGUACCUUAAGCACUCAGGUUUAGAUAAACAAGUGCUUGGAGACAGAGAAUAAGGCCUCAAAAUAACCCACUCAAGAUUGCACCCAGCUUUAUGUUUCUACAAGAAGGAGCUAUCCAGCCAAUAGGAGGAUUAGCCAAUAAAGAACUUAAAAGAUCCUCACUAAAUAAAAAUAACACGAACCAUUCUCCAGGAGGCCUCCUGAGUCUUCAUUGCAUUUAAGUGCUGCAUGUAAAGUCAGGUUUAUUUUUAUGGGUUUUGAGUCUUUUUUCCCCAUAGCUCUCCUCAUUUCUGUAAUAGACUCUGCUCAGUUACACGGGGCAUCCAAAACACCUCUCCCUCCAUUUCCCAAUUGGGCUGUGGGGAGGACACCCUAUCCAAGGGGCUAGGGGGAGCCAGAGAGGGCCCACUUUCAGGAUUUCUUUCCUAAUAUUACACCUUGGUGGUCAGUUUUGAACUGUGGUCAGCAUCUCAACGGUUUAUCUUGCUUUUUGGCAAUUGUCAGAUAGGAUGAUGCUGUGGGACAUAGUGUCAGAAAAGAGACUAUUUUCUAAAAAAAGUAAUAAAAAUGAAAAUCUUCUUUUACUGGAUGCCUCCACAUUCAUAGUAAAGAAUUUUCUAAGAAUUUUUUAUUUGCAUUCUUACUUAAACUUUAUAACAAAUUUGAGACUGGCCUUGCCAGCCACAUUUAUGUACAGAGGUCUUUUAACCCAUUUAAGAGCCAUGUGGCUAAUGAAUGGAGGGGUUGGGAUUCCAGUUGAGUGGGCACAUGGAGGGGUGAGUGAUAAUCAUUUUAGCUUUAGAGCACAAUCUUUUUAGGGUUAUAUGUGUCUUGGUUUUUGCUGCUUAACAGAAUAUCUGAGAUAGUUCAUAAUAUAUAUGGUAUUUAUUUAUAUUUAUUUAUUUCUCAUUGUUUUGUAGGCUGAGAAGCCCAAGAUCAAGGUGCUAUCAUCUGGCAGGGGCCUUCCUUGCUGCAUCUUCACAUAGUGGAAUGAAAAAGGGCAAGAGAGUAUGUCUGUCCUCACGGGCAGAACAGAAGAGAGCAAACACUCCUGCACAUCCUUUUAAUAACAGAAUUAAUUCAUUUCUGGGGGCAAUGUCCUCAUGAACUGAAUACCUCCCAAAGACUCUGCCUCCUAACACUGUUGCACUGUGAGCAAGUUUCUAACACAAUGAACUCUGGGAGACACAGUCAGACCACGGCAAUGAGUUUAAUGGUUCUCCAUGUUGGCCCCAAUACUUGACUGGGAGUCUUGCCUUGACUUUUAUUCCAUCCAAGAGUUAUCAAAAUUUGGACUGAGAGGAGUAAUACUUAUAUAUCAGGAGGCUUUGCCCAAGAAUCACACUCAUCUUCCAGGUCUAGUGAGUGGUUCUUUAACUUGACCAGGAACCAGGAUUGUCCAAUCAGACUCUGUAGGGAUGGAGGUUUGGGCAUCUGUAACUUUUUACAGGCAAUUGGCAGCAAUCCUGAUGCAACUGGUCUAUGGACUAGCCUCUGUGAAUCAGAGCAUAAAACAUUCUAGUCUUAUUAUUAUAGAGUUGCAAAUCAAUGACAUCUUUGGAAAUCAUGACUCUUGCUGUCCUGUCUGGACAUUGGCUGAAAAUGAAGGGUGUUUUAUGACCCUUUAAUCAAUCAAUCAAUCAAUCAAUCAAUCUAUCUAUCUAUCCAUAUAUAUACAUAGAUAUAGAUAUGGUGGGAUGAUUGAUAUUAUUAAAGAUAAAAGUUGGUGAUCAGAGAAAUUCCUUACUUAAUGUUAGACUUCAGAUUCAGAAAUAACUUUAUAUCUCCUGAAAACUAAUUUUUUCUCUCUCUGUGUGGAUAUUAUAUUAUGUAACUGUUUGGAUUUCUUUAUUUAACCUGGCCAUUAAGAAGCCCAAAACAAAAUUUACAUCCUUUUUAGUAAAUUGUAAAGAACCCUAUGUAUUUUGUUUCUAACUUUACUUCUGGAUUAUUUUCCCUUCCU
Molecule: long non-coding RNA, 3172 nt
Filed under: Marmota monax (woodchuck)
Lineage: Eukaryota; Metazoa; Chordata; Mammalia; Rodentia; Sciuridae
Source: RNAcentral